AAUGAACGCUAGCGGCAUGCCUAAUACAUGCAAGUCGAACGGAGUGGCGGACGGGUGAGCAAUAUAUCGGAACGUCCCCAGUUGCGGGGGAUAACUACUUGAAAGAGUGGUAAAUACCGCAUACCAUUGCAUUGGCCGAUCUCGGAUUAGCUAGUGGGUGGGGUAAAGGCUCACCAAGGCAACGAUCCGUAGCUGGUUUGCGAGGACGACCAGCCACACUGGGACUGAGACACGGCCCAGACUCCUACGGGAGGCAGCAGUGGGGAAUUUUGGACAAUGGGGGAAACCCUGAUCCAGCCAUCCCGCGUGUAUGAUGAAGGCCUUCGGGUUGUAAAGUACUUUUGGCAGGGAAGCGGUACCUGCAGAAUAAGCACCGGCUAACUACGUGCCAGCAGCCGCGGUAAUUC
RNAcentral lists this ribosomal RNA (407 nucleotides) under uncultured bacterium. Its description in RNAcentral is "partial 16S ribosomal RNA". It matches the Rfam family "Bacterial small subunit ribosomal RNA", at positions 29 to 526 of the family's 1533-position model. The record is from RNAcentral.